UCUCUAGGCAUCCCCUUCGUCGUCCUCCUGCGGAACGGGCUCGGGAACCAUGUCUUCCUGAUCUGAAAUGGUUAAUUAAGGAGUGAGCUACACUAGCCCAGUAAGAACAUCACGAUAUCUCACCGUCACGGAGAUAAAGGUGGGUAGAAAAACACAAAAAGACCAAUGGAGCAUAAUUUACAACAAACUCGUUUAUUAACAUGAAAACCUUUACCAUCCACUUACCUCGGUGGAAUUUAUGAAAACAAUAUGAGAAAAACAAUAACAUUAUCACAAUCAUGGAAUAAUAUAAGCUGUAAAACAUAACACUUAUCACGCCUUUUGUAAUUCAAUCAUUAUACAACAUAUCCUUUUCUCAUUUACCAGCCUACUAGUAUUCGUGGGGGUCCAUAGGGAUUCCGCUACCCGUUAAUCUUUUAACAUUCAUAAUCAGUUUCCAGGGCCGUCCCCAUACCCCGUCCGGUAUGGGCGCCAAAACCAUAAACCUCAAUACCCCGUCCG
RNAcentral lists this long non-coding RNA (501 nucleotides) under Carica papaya (papaya). RNAcentral describes it as "long non-coding RNA (CPAP_LNC005647)". The record is from RNAcentral. Lineage: Eukaryota; Viridiplantae; Streptophyta; Magnoliopsida; Brassicales; Caricaceae.